RNAcentral lists this ribosomal RNA (253 nucleotides) under uncultured bacterium. RNAcentral describes it as "partial 16S ribosomal RNA". It matches the Rfam family "Bacterial small subunit ribosomal RNA", at positions 524 to 776 of the family's 1533-position model. The record is from RNAcentral.
UACAGAGGUCUCAAGCGUUGUUCGGAUUCAUUGGGCGUAAAGGGUGCGUAGGUGGCGUGGUAAGUCGGGUGUGAAAUUUCGGAGCUUAACUCCGAAACUGCAUUCGAUACUGCUGUGCUUGAGGACUGGAGAGGAGACUGGAAUUUACGGUGUAGCAGUGAAAUGCGUAGAUAUCGAGAGGAACACCAGUGGCGAAGGCGAGUCCCUGGACAACUCCUGACACUGAGGCACGAAAGCUAGGGGAGCAAACAGG